AGCCCUACGGGGUGCAGCAGUUAGGAAUUUUCUGCAAUGUACGAAAGUAUGACAGAUUGAGUCAGAGUGCUUUUCAUAUGAAAAGCUUUUGCCAAAUGUAAAAAGUUUGGCGAAUAAGGACUGGGUAAGACGAGUGCCAGCCGCCGCGGUAAUACUCGCGGUCCAAGUCGCAGCCAUCAUUAUUGGGUCUAAAACAUCCGUAGCUUGCUUAAUAAGUUUCUUGUGAAAUUCCAUGUCUCAAAUAUGGAGCGGGCAAGAAGUACUGUUAAGCUAGAGACUGGAAGACGUAAGAAGUACGUUUGGAGUAGCGGUAAAAUGUGUUAAUCCCAGACGGACUAACAACAGCGAAGGCAUCUUACGAGGACAGUUCUGACAGUAAGGGAUGAAGGCUAGGGGCGCAAAAGGGAUUAGAUACCCCUGUAGUCCUAGCAGUAAACACUGCACACUAAACAUUAGUACCUCCUCGAGAGGUGUUAGUGCUGAAGAGAAGUCGAAGAGUGUGCUACCUGGGAAGUAUAGUCGCAAGGCUGAAACUUAAAGGAAUUGGCGGGGAGACACUACAACGGGUGACGCGUGCGGUUCAAUUAGAUUCUACACCGUGAACCUCAC
RNAcentral lists this ribosomal RNA (609 nucleotides) under uncultured archaeon. RNAcentral's name for it is "bacterial SSU rRNA". It matches the Rfam family "Archaeal small subunit ribosomal RNA", at positions 319 to 930 of the family's 1478-position model. The record is from RNAcentral.